GUCACUUUGGCCGAGUGGUUAAGGCGCGGGCCUGCUAUUGAACGCAUCACGUGAUUCAGCAGCAAGGGUAGCUCGUCUCUUCGGAGGCGCAGGUUCGAAUCCUGCAGGUGACG
Cladorrhinum sp. PSN332 is the source of this 113-nucleotide non-coding RNA. NCBI's taxonomy places the organism in Eukaryota, Fungi, Ascomycota, Sordariomycetes, Sordariales, Podosporaceae. The record is from the annotation of a GenBank genome assembly.